UUUGCAGCGCUCAAAGCACAGUGCAAAAAUAUACACGGGAGAGGUUUGCCUUCACUCUUUCUUGCCAGAAAGCCUGUUUUUAUCAAGACAAUUUCGUUUUCAGGAGGCUAGCCAACAGUUAGCUACUAUAAUAGCUAAUAACGGAGCAUUUAGCCGCUAAAGUGAGUUGGUAGAGACCAAAACCAGAGCUACAAUGAGAGUGAGUAUUGGACUGAGCCAGGUAGAGAGAAGCAAGACCCCACAUAUCUGUGGGACUACGACGUUGACUCUUCCCAAACACAUCCCAGGCUAAGACGGCCAGCCCUACAAAUGAAAAAGUCUGUCACUGCGUGACCGACUGCUGAGUGAUGAAGAUACACGAUUGGUCUGCCGAGUGUUGGGAGUUUCCUCAUUGGCCGUUGCUCUUUCAAAAUCA
This is a long non-coding RNA of Sebastes umbrosus (honeycomb rockfish), 415 nucleotides long. RefSeq lists it as uncharacterized. The transcript has 3 exons. Lineage: Eukaryota; Metazoa; Chordata; Actinopteri; Perciformes; Sebastidae. The record is from RefSeq and is a predicted model, not a curated record.